AUUCGAGAAAGGCAAAGUCAUUGAAAGAUGGCGGCGCAAAACUAUAGGGGCUACAGUCUGAUCGACGAUGCCAGCCAGUUGCCGAA
This 86-nucleotide non-coding RNA is filed under the name Bacillus sp. (in: firmicutes). Its description in RNAcentral is "Bacillus sp. c-di-GMP sequence". It matches the Rfam family "c-di-GMP-I riboswitch aptamer". From Rfam's summary of the family: GEMM was predicted in a large-scale screen for bacterial structured RNA regulatory elements. Genes associated with GEMM are involved in a diverse array of functions, including chemotaxis regulation, signal transduction, secretion and chitin. Lineage: Bacteria; Bacillati; Bacillota; Bacilli; Caryophanales; Bacillaceae. The record is from RNAcentral.